AGUGAACGCUGGCGGUAGGCCUAACACAUGCAAGUCGAACGGCAGCACAGUAAGAGCUUGCUCUUACGGGUGGCGAGUAGCGGACGGGUGAGGAAUACAUCGGAAUCUACUUUUUCGUGGGGGAUAACGUAGGGAAACUUACGCUAAUACCGCAUACGACCUACGGGUGAAAGCAGGGGAUCUUCGGACCUUGCGCGAUUGAAUGAGCCGAUGUCGGAUUAGCUAGUUGGCGGGGUAAAGGCCCACCAAGGCGACGAUCCGUAGCUGGUCUGAGAGGAUGAUCAGCCACACUGGAACUGAGACACGGUCCAGACUCCUACGGGAGGCAGCAGUGGGGAAUAUUGGACAAUGGGCGCAAGCCUGAUCCAGCCAUACCGCGUGGGUGAAGAAGGCCUUCGGGUUGUAAAGCCCUCUUGUUGGGAAAGAAAAGCAGCAGGUUAAUACCCCGCUGUUCUGACGGUGCCCAAAGAAUAAGCACCGGCUAACUUCGUG
RNAcentral lists this ribosomal RNA (492 nucleotides) under uncultured bacterium. RNAcentral describes it as "partial 16S ribosomal RNA". It matches the Rfam family "Bacterial small subunit ribosomal RNA", at positions 29 to 507 of the family's 1533-position model. The record is from RNAcentral.